UGUAAAUACAAAUGGAAGUUACUAUUGCAUCUGUGAUGAAGGAUUUCGAUCAAAUCCCCCCAAUUUCACAGCAACAACAGGACAGUGUGUCGAUAUCAAUGAGUGUACUGAGAAUACAACCACAUGCUCAACAGAUCAGGUGUGUCUGAACACCAUUGGCUCUUAUAACUGCACAUGUCCUAAAGGAUAUCGUGGACAAAGACUAGACUAGAUUGAUAAUCAAACAAAAAUCAUCAAUAAAUAACAUUUUUUUCAUUAAAGGUCAAUUUUCCUUUUAAUAAAUUAUUUUGGCUUUUUAUAUUUAGUGUCAGCUAAUUGUGACUAUAGUGUUUAAACCCAUAAAUAAUAGGCAUAGAAUAGAAUUGUAUUAAAUAUAUUCAUUAUUACACUGUAAAAUCCAACAUUUGUUCUAACUAACACCUUGUAGUCAAUUGUAAAUAUCUAGUAAUCUGUACUAUUCUCAUACAAUGGCUUGUUUACAGAAAAGCCGAGAUAAGAUUAACUGAUUGGUUUGAGUUCAAUUACGUCAAGUAAAAAAAGUCUUUGAGGCGGGAAAUUCUUAAUAGACUUUUCUCAGUUCUGCAGUUAUCCUUCAUUCACUCAUUUCCCAAAGUCAUCUUAAAUGUUCAAUCGUGAACAACUUUUAUUCUAAACAGCUGAGAGAUCAUCACAUAAGCUAAUUUCAUAAACGGAUGUUGAUUUUGCUAAAAUGUUUUUUUUGUUUUACUAGUUUUUACUUGUUUGGAAAGUUAACUCACCAUUAUGCUGAUCAGUGUCCCAUUUGGUGGGAUACUUAAGUUGGAUCAUCAUUUAUAUUAUUGUAAGUCUUGAUGCAGCGAGAAGUGUGUAAAUGAAACUAUUAAUAUGUUUUUUAGGGGUUUCAAGCAUCACAAAGCUGUUUCAAGCUCUCUCUCUCUCUCUCUCAGACAUCGAUAAGUGUACAGAUCCAGAUGUUUGCGGCACAAACGCAGAUUGCAUAAAUCAUCCAGGCAGCUUCAUCUGCGAAUGUCACCCGGGUUACAGUAACUACGGCAACAACCAGUCAAAAUGCACCGAUAUUUCACAGACGCAUUUCUGUGUGUGAGUCUCGUUUGCUGAACGAUGACGUCUGGCAUCUCCGUGUGGUUUAACUGUGAUCCAGUAUCAGCGAAACUUUCUCUUUUCACCUUCACUGAUCAGCUGUGAAUCUGAUUUAUAUGAUAUUUGAAGACCUGUUUCUGCUUUUCUCCUCUAAGUCAACAAGAGAACAUGAGAAGUUUGUUUUUUUUAUAGUUGUUCAUGUAAAUAAGUUUAAAUGCACUUGACAAAUGACAAAUAUUUCCAACACAGUUUCAAUGUUUGAUGAGGAGCAAUUAUGAAAUGAGUAAAUAAAAAGAAGAUGAAACAAACACAUGCCUGUUUGUAAAUGCUUAAUCAACUGAGGCAGUGUUGAAGAUGAAGACUGGCAGUAUUGUGUGUGUGUGUGUGUGUGUGUGUGUAAUUGUUGGUUAGUGGAACUAAUUAGAUUACAUUUUUUGAUAAAGCUUGCUGUCUCUACACACUCAAAAGCAUCAGGAUCUUCUGGCUUACCAUUUCCUGAGUGUGUUUACCCUCUCUCUCUCUCUGUUACACACAC
Molecule: non-coding RNA, 1615 nt
Organism: Pimephales promelas (fathead minnow)
Lineage: Eukaryota; Metazoa; Chordata; Actinopteri; Cypriniformes; Leuciscidae
Source: RefSeq, a predicted model, not a curated record